UUCCUAAGUACCAGUUGCUAUCAGUCACCACAUAAAUGACUAUCCUACCUCAAGGGAAAGUGGAGGAAAAAUUUCACCUGGAGAGCAAAGUUCGUAGUGAAAGAACACAGGAGUGCCUUUACUUUCCAUCAUUUCUACAUGCCCAUUUUCAUCUUGGUCAAGACUUGUGAUUUCAUCAAUAUGGAGGAGUUCAAGCCUUCAAAGAGCAGCUAGGUGGCGCAGUGGAUAAAGCACCGGCCCUGGAUUCAGGAGGACCUGAGU
Long non-coding RNA from Dromiciops gliroides (monito del monte), 261 nucleotides. RefSeq lists it as uncharacterized. The transcript is spliced from 3 exons. NCBI's taxonomy places the organism in Eukaryota, Metazoa, Chordata, Mammalia, Microbiotheria, Microbiotheriidae. The record is from RefSeq and is a predicted model, not a curated record.